Molecule: ribosomal RNA, 484 nt
Filed under: Candidatus Mycoplasma haematominutum
Lineage: Bacteria; Bacillati; Mycoplasmatota; Mollicutes; Mycoplasmatales; Mycoplasmataceae
Description: bacterial SSU rRNA
Rfam family: Bacterial small subunit ribosomal RNA
Source: RNAcentral
GAUGGAGCAAUACCAUGUGAACGAUGAAGGUCUUCUGAUUGUAAAGUUCUUUUAUUUAGGAAAAAAAGCUUGAUAGGAAAUGAUUAAGCCUUGAUUGUACUAAAUGAAUAAGUGACAGCUAACUAUGUGCCAGCAGCUGCGGUAAAACAUAGGUCACGAGCAUUAUCCGGAUUUAUUGGGCGUAAAGGAAGCGUAGGCGGACAAAUUGAUCUAUUGUUAAAGGCACUUGCUCAACGAGUUGUUUGUGAUAGAUAUCGUUUGUCUAGAAUUAGUUAGGAGAUACUGGAAUUCAAUGUGUAGCGGUGGAAUGCGUAGAUAUAUUGAGGAACACCAGAGGCUAAGGCGAGUAUCUAGGACAUAAUUGACGCUGAGGCUUGAAAGCGUGGGGAGCAAAUGGGAUUAGAUACCCCAGUAGUCCACGCCGUAAACGAUGGGUAUUAGGUAUUUGGUCUAGGACUGAGUGCUGUAGCUAACGCGUUAAAUA